GAAGGUAUAGCUCAAGUGGUAGAAUGCAGACUUAGCAUGCAUGAGGUCCUGGGUUCAAUCCCCAGUACCUCCA
This 73-nucleotide transfer RNA is filed under the name Camelus dromedarius (Arabian camel). It matches the Rfam family "tRNA". Rfam says of the family: Transfer RNA (tRNA) molecules are approximately 80 nucleotides in length. Their secondary structure includes four short double-helical elements and three loops (D, anti-codon, and T loops). RNAcentral also lists the same sequence under 1 other name. The record is from Rfam by way of RNAcentral. Lineage: Eukaryota; Metazoa; Chordata; Mammalia; Artiodactyla; Camelidae.